UUCCUUGGAUAGUGAAAAACUUUCCUCGGAUAACUGUGGAAAAUCCAGAGCUAAUACGUGCAACUGAGCUCCGACCACUACGCGAGUGGUGGGAAGAGCGCAUUUAUUACAUUCAAAACUGACCGGUGUACUCCUUCGGGAUACGCCGAUCGUCAAAUGAUGACUCCGGAUAACUUAGCCGAGCGCUACGGUCUUCAGUACCGGCGCCGUAUCUUUCAAGUGUCUGCCUUAUCAGCUUUCGAUUGUAGGUUAAACGCCUACAAUGGCUGUAACGGGUAACGGGGAAUCAGGGUUCGAUUCCGGAGAGGGAGCCUGAGAAACGGCUACCACAUCUAAGGAAGGCAGCAGGCACGCAAAUUACCCACUCCCAGCCCGGGGAGGUAGUGACGAAAAAUAACGAUGCGAGACUCUUCCGAGGCCUCGCAAUCGGAAUGAGUCCAUUUUAAAUCCUUGGACGAGGAUCCAUUGGAGGGCAAGUCUGGUGCCAGCAGCCGCGGUAAUUCCAGCUCCAAUAGCGUAUAUUAAAGUUGCUGCGGUUAAAAAGCUCGUAKUUGGACUUUAUACAGCCAUUUCGUGGGUGAGUCGCUCUUCGUACUAACGUCGCGCGCAGUCCCAAKUCGUGCGUGUUUUUCGGGGUCGUUGAGAUCCGGCKUUCCAGUCGCGGGCGGCGCGUUGUCCUAGAGUAUAGCUCGUCCGCGUUUGGUACAAUUAAAAUUUUGUCGGCUCGCUCGGAGUGCUCUUUACCGAGUGUUCCAGGGUGGCUGACACGUUCACUUUGAAAAAAUUAGAGUGCUUAAAGCGGGCUUAUUUACGGCCUGAAUGUCUGUGCAUGGAAUGAAGUAACAGGACCUCGAUUCUGUUGUUUUUGUCGGUUUUAAUGAACCGAGGUAAUGAUUAAAAGGGACAGACGGUGGCAUUAGUAUUGCGGCGCUAGAGGUGAAAUUCUUGGACCGUCGCAAGACUAACUACUGCGAAAGCAUUUGCCGAGAAUGUUUUCAUUAAUCAAGAACGAAAGUUAGAGGAUCGAAGGCGAUCAGAUACCGCCCUAGUUCUAACCCUAAACUAUGCUAA
This 1071-nucleotide ribosomal RNA is filed under the name Chelator insignis. RNAcentral's name for it is "SSU rRNA". Lineage: Eukaryota; Metazoa; Arthropoda; Malacostraca; Isopoda; Desmosomatidae. The record is from RNAcentral.